CCUGGCUCAGGACGAACGCUGGCGGCGUGCUUAACACAUGCAAGUCGAACGGUGAUGUCAGAGCUUGCUCUGGCGGAUCAGUGGCGAACGGGUGAGUAACACGUGAGUAACCUGCCCCCGACUCUGGGAUAACUGCUAGAAAUGGUAGCUAAUACCGGAUAUGACGAUUGGCCGCAUGGUCUGGUCGUGGAAAGAAUUUCGGUUGGGGAUGGACUCGCGGCCUAUCAGGUUGUUGGUGAGGUAAUGGCUCACCAAGCCUACGACGGGUAGCCGGCCUGAGAGGGUGACCGGCCACACUGGGACUGAGACACGGCCCAGACUCCUACGGGAGGCAGCAGUGGGGAAUAUUGCACAAUGGGCGAAAGCCUGAUGCAGCAACGCCGCGUGAGGGAUGACGGCCUUCGGGUUGUAAACCUCUUUUAGUAGGGAAGAAGCGAAAGU
RNAcentral lists this ribosomal RNA (441 nucleotides) under Clavibacter sepedonicus. RNAcentral describes it as "bacterial SSU rRNA". It matches the Rfam family "Bacterial small subunit ribosomal RNA", at positions 18 to 457 of the family's 1533-position model. The record is from RNAcentral. Lineage: Bacteria; Bacillati; Actinomycetota; Actinomycetes; Micrococcales; Microbacteriaceae. RNAcentral also lists the same sequence under 1 other name.